CCUACGGGUGGCAGCAGUGGGGAAUAUUGGACAAUGGGGGCAACCCUGAUCCAGCCAUGCCGCGUGUGUGAAGAAGGCCCUCGGGUUGUAAAGCACUUUCAGUGAGGAAGAACGCCUGGUGGUUAAUACCCAUCAGGAAAGACAUCACUCACAGAAGAAGCACCGGCUAACUCCGUGCCAGCAGCCGCGGUAAUACGGAGGGUGCGAGCGUUAAUCGGAAUUACUGGGCGUAAAGCGCGCGUAGGUGGCUUGAUAAGCCGGUUGUGAAAGCCCCGGGCUCAACCUGGGAACGGCAUCCGGAACUGUCAAGCUAGAGUGCAGGAGAGGAAGGUAGAAUUCCCGGUGUAGCGGUGAAAUGCGUAGAGAUCGGGAGGAAUACCAGUGGCGAAGGCGGCCUUCUGGACUGACACUGACACUGAGGUGCGAAAGCGUGGUAGCAAACAGGAUUAGAUACCCCAGUAGUC
This 464-nucleotide ribosomal RNA is filed under the name Vreelandella stevensii. RNAcentral describes it as "partial 16S ribosomal RNA". It matches the Rfam family "Bacterial small subunit ribosomal RNA", at positions 338 to 795 of the family's 1533-position model. The record is from RNAcentral. Lineage: Bacteria; Pseudomonadati; Pseudomonadota; Gammaproteobacteria; Oceanospirillales; Halomonadaceae.